GGGCGUAAAGAGCUCGUAGGUGGUUCGUUACGUCGGAUGUGAAAAUCUGGGGCUCAACCCCAGACCUGCAUUCGAUACGGGCGAUCUAGAGUGUGGUAGGGGAGACUGGAAUUCCUGGUGUAGCGGUGGAAUGCGCAGAUAUCAGGAGGAACACCAAUGGCGAAGGCAGGUCUCUGGGCCAUUACUGACACUGAGGAGCGAAAGCGUGGGGAGCGAACAGGAUUAGAUACCCUGGUAGUCCACGCCGUAGACGGUGGGCACUAGUUGUGGGAACCUUCCACGGUUUCUGCGACGCAGCUAACGCAUUAAGUGCCCCGCCUGGGGAGUACGAUCGCAAGAUUAAAACUCAAAGGAAUUGACGGGGCCCCGCACAAGCAGCGAAGCAUGCGGCUUAAUUCGACGCAACGCGAAGAACCUUACCAAGGCUUGACAUAUACCGGAAUAUGGCAGAGAUGUCAUAGCUGUAAAAGGUCGGUAUACAGGUGGUGCAUGGUUGUCGUCAGCUCGUGUCGUGAGAUGUUGGGUUAAGUCCCGCAACGAGCGCAACCCUCGUUCUGUGUUGCCAGCAUUUAGUUGGGGACUCACAGGAGACUGCCGGGGUCAACUCGGAGGAAGGUAAU
This 620-nucleotide ribosomal RNA is filed under the name uncultured Actinomycetes bacterium. RNAcentral describes it as "bacterial SSU rRNA". It matches the Rfam family "Bacterial small subunit ribosomal RNA", at positions 556 to 1177 of the family's 1533-position model. The record is from RNAcentral. Lineage: Bacteria; Bacillati; Actinomycetota; Actinomycetes.